AAUCCAGAAAUAUCUUUAUUAAGAUUAUAGUGAUCAUUUCAGAAAGAAGCAGAAUGGUGCAAUCAGAAGGCAGGCACCCAUCAAAGGAAAUUGAGGGUGAAUCGUAAGAAAAAUCCAUAAAAUAAUCAUGGUCUGCAACCAAGGCAUAUGUGACUGCUCCAAUUCCUGAACCUUCUACAUUCCAUGAGCACCAACAAAAAUCAACACGUUCAUACCACCAAAGC
This 224-nucleotide long non-coding RNA is filed under the name Capsicum annuum. RNAcentral's name for it is "long non-coding RNA (CANN_LNC004865)". Lineage: Eukaryota; Viridiplantae; Streptophyta; Magnoliopsida; Solanales; Solanaceae. The record is from RNAcentral.